Molecule: long non-coding RNA, 3732 nt
Organism: Homo sapiens (human)
Lineage: Eukaryota; Metazoa; Chordata; Mammalia; Primates; Hominidae
Exons: 2
Source: RefSeq, a predicted model, not a curated record
AAGGUUCCCGUCUUCAGUGCAGGUUGCAGGCGGGAACCGGCCUCGUCCCAGCCCUGGGCCUGGGAGAGAGAAGGAGGCCGAAGAAAACCAACUUCGGCAACCUCCGGAGACAGGACGUUUAAAAAAGGCUAACUUGGCUGGGCGCUGAGGCUCACGCCUGUAAUCCCAGCACUUUGGGAGGCCGAGGCAGGAGGAUCACUUGAGCUCAGGAACCAGCCUGGGCAACAUGGCGAGACCCCAUGUCUACAAAAAAAAAAAAAAAAAAAUUAGCCAGUCAUGGUGGUGCGCGCCUGCAGUCCCAGCUACCCCGGAGGCCGACGCGGGAGGAUCGCUGGAGCCGAAAGGUCGAGGCUGCCGUGAGCCGAGGUUGCACCACUGCACUCCAGCCUGGGCGACAGCGCAAGACCCUGUCUAAAAAUAAAUUUAAAAAAAAUUGCGAGGCCUUCAUUCUAUGCUAGUACUGUACUAGGUGCUAAUUAUUAAGUAAAACCGACUGAACUCUUGCCCUCAUGGAGCUUACAGUUCAGUGGAGAAGACAUUACCUAAAGCAGUAUGACUAAAUAUAUAAUGACAUAUUGUAAUAACUUACAUAACAGUACAAUGAGAGGGUGGGGAGGGAUUAUUUAUGCUUUAAGAAGUCGGGAAUCCUGGAACGGAAUGACAUUAGACUGAGACACGGAAGAGCCGCAGGAUCUAUUGCUGGGGAAGAGCAUUCCAGACAGGGAGGAACUCGUGCCGAAUGAUCCCGCUGUGGACAGGGAAUUUAAUCUGAGCUUCGGUUUCCUCUUCUGUCAAAUGUCAUGCAAGAGUUACUUUCAGCCGUGGUCCAGGCACUGUGAAAAAUGCAGAAGCCACACUAGGUGCCCUCUCUCAGGAUUCCCAACCACCUUUACCAAGCAGAGAUGGUAUUCAUCCCACAUUUUUAAUGCUAGAUAUGCUCCCGCCCGGUGCUUCUCUAAUAAUGUUUUUUAAAAGGUUGAGAGCAGAAUUUUAAUAGGCAAAAGAAAGAGAAGAGCUCUCUGCUGCAGACAGGAGUCCUGGAGAAAUGGGUUGCCCUCUUUUUUCUUUUUCUUUUUUUGAGACAGUCUCUCACUGUCACCCAGGCUGGAAUUCAGUGGCGCAUUCGUACCUCGCUGCAGCCUCAACCUCCUAGGCUCAAUCGAUCCUCCCACCUCAGCCUCCCGAGUAGCUGGGACUAUAGAUAUUUAACCAUUUUUCUAUUGAGAUUUGGUCUUCUCCACCACCCACCACAGAUUUUUGUAAUUAGAGGUCAUUUUUCCAAACAAAUGAUUCUUAAGGUCCUGCUGUCUCUGAAUAUUAUUUUUAUAGAACAAGCAUAAGUAUAAUUGGAUCAAUCAUCUAACCUUUCAGAUCCUCAACUUAGUCUUCCAUUAAUGAGAGGAUUAAAUCCAUUAGUUAAAUGUUCUCUAAGAAUCAGUGUGUCUCCAACUUCAGUGUACAAACAGCGGGUCACCCAGGGAUCGCAGUGGGACGCAGACGCUGAUUCCGCAGUUGUGGACUUGGUGGAGGUGGGCGCUGUCUCAGUCCAUCUGGGCCGCUAUACAGAGUGCCACAGACAGAGUGGCUUACGGACAACAGAUGCUCAUUUCUCACUCUCUGGAGACUGGAAGCCCAAGAUCAAGGUGGCAGAAAAUGCCGUGUCUGAAGAGGAACUGUUUCCUUGUUCACAGCCUCUUCUCACUGUGUCCUUGCAGAAGGGCUGAGGGAGCUCUCCAGGGGCCUCCUUCAUAAGGGCACUCAUGCCAUCGUGGGACUCCACUCUCACGACCUCAUCACCACCCAAAGACCAUCACUUUGGGGGUUAGGAUUUAACAUGUGCACUUUGGGGGGACACACACAUUCAGUCCACAGCAGCUCCAAUAUGUUGCAUUUCUAAUUAGCUCACAGGCAAUGCUGAUGAUACUGGUCCAGGGACCACACUUCGAGUAGCAACAAACCAGAUAGCCACAAAGAGGAAUUAAUAGAUGUAGCAUUAAGGAAGAAAGAUUCCUUCCAGUGCCAAGGAAACUCAUCACAGUACCUCCAAUACCGUGUCAUCCUGGAGGGACCACAAGACCCUGGAUAGUUGGCCCAGGACAGAAUACUGCUGGGGGUUUGGAGGGUGGCAGUUAAAAAGCCAAGAUCUGUUUACCUGUUAAAAUAUAUAUUCUUGCCCUCUCCCUCUCCCUCUCCCUCUCCCUCUCCCCACGGUCUCCCUCUCCCUCUCUUUCCAUGGUCUCCCUCUGAUGCCUAGCCGAAGCUGGACUGUACUGCUGCCAUCUCGGCUCACUGCAACCCCCCUGCCUGAUUCUCCUGCCUCAGCCUGCCGAGCGCCUGCGAUUGCAGGCACGCACCGCCACGCCUGACUGGUUUUUGUAUUUUUUUGGUGGAGACGGGGUUUCGCUCUGUUGGCCGGGCUGGUCUCCAGCUCCUAGCCGCGAGUGAUCCGCCAGCCUCGGCCUCCCGAGGUGCCGGGAUUGCAGACGGAGUCUCGUUCACUCAGUGCUCAAUGGUGCCCAGGCUGGAGUGCAGUGGCGUGAUCUCGGCUCGCUACAACCACCUCCCAGCCGCCUGCCUUGGCCUCCCAAAGAGCCGAGAUUGCAGCCUCUGCCCGGCCACCACCCCGUCUGGGAAGUGAGGAGCGUCUCUGCUUGGCCGCCCAUCGUCUGCGAUGUGAGGAGCCCCUCUGCCUGGCUGCCCAGUCUGGAAAGUGAGGAGCAUCUCUGCCCGGCCACCAUCCCAUCUAGGAAGUGAGGAGCGCCUCUUCCCCGCCAUCCAGCCCAUCUAGGAAGUGAGGAGCGUCUCUGCCCAGCCGCCCAUCGUCUGAGAUGUGGGGAGCACCUCUGCCCCGCCGCCCCAUCUGGGAUGUGAGGAGCGCCUCUGCCCGGCCGCGACCCCGUCUGGGAGGUGAGGAGCGUCUCUGCCCGGCCGCCCCGUCUGAGAAGUGAGGAGACCCUCUGCCUGGCAACCGCCCCGUCUGAGAAGUGAGGAGCCCCUCCGUCCGGCAGCCACCCAGUCUGGGAAGUGAGGAGCGUCUCCGCCCGGCCAGCCGCCCCGUCAGGGAGGGAGGUGGGGGGUCAGCCCCCCGCCCGGCCAGCCGCCCCUUCUGGGAGGUGAGGGGCGCCUCUGCCCGGCCGCCCCUACUGGGAAGUGAGGAGCCCCUCUGGCCGGCCACCACCCCGUCUGGGAGGUGUACCCAACAGCUCAUUGAGAACGGGCCAUGAUGACAAUGGCGGUUUUGUGGAAUAGAAAGGGGGGAAAUGUGGGGAAAAGAUUGAGAAAUCGGAUGGUUGCCAUGUCUGUGUAGAAAGAAGUAGACAUGGGAGACUUUUCAUUUUGUUCUGUACUAAGAAAAAUUCUUCUGCCUUGGGAUCCUGUUGAUCUGUGACCUUACCCCCAACCCUGUGCUCCCUGAAACAUGUGCUGUGUCCACUCAGGGUUAAAUGGAUUAAGGGCGGUGCAAGAUGUGCUUUGUUAAACAGAUGCUUGAAGGCAGCAGGCUCGUUAAGGGUCAUCACCACUCCCUAAUCUCAAGUACCCAGGGACACAAACACUGGGGAAGGCCGCAGGGCCCUCUGCCUAGGAAAACCAGAGACCCUUGUUCACUUGUUUGUCUGCUGACCUUCCCUCCACUAUUGUCCUGUGACCCUGCCAAAUCCCCCUCUGCGAGAAACACCCAAGAAUGAUCAAUAAAAAAAUAAAUAAAUAAAUAAAAACAUUUAAAGAAAAAAA